This 253-nucleotide ribosomal RNA is filed under the name uncultured bacterium. RNAcentral's name for it is "partial 16S ribosomal RNA". It matches the Rfam family "Archaeal small subunit ribosomal RNA", at positions 474 to 727 of the family's 1478-position model. The record is from RNAcentral.
UACCAGCACCCCGAGUGGUCGGGACGAUUAUUGGGCCUAAAGCAUCCGUAGGCGGUUUUACAAGUCCUCCGUUAAAUCCAGCUGCUUAACAGAUGGGCUGCGGAGGAUACUAUAAGACUAGGAGGCAGGAGAGGCAAGCGGUACUCAGUGGGUAGGGGUAAAAUCCGUUGAUCCAUUGAAGACCACCAGUGGCGAAGGCGGCUUGCCAGAAUGCGCUCGACGGUGAGGGAUGAAAGCUGGGGGAGCAAACCGG